GCCGCACCCUAAAUGCUGGUGUUCUAAAGCUGUACCGACGCCUAGCCCAACCACCGAAAACACCAUAACCAACACAAUUGUCUUCAAAAUUGCUUUUCAACUACAAGCCAGUACCCAUUCUUCAAUUGAGAUGAGUUUUGAAGACAUUUUUAUUCGGCUUAUAGUUUUAUGACAGCUUUAUCACCCGUCAAAAUUCAACCAGACUUCAUUUUGCGGACAAAGAGAUAUGCAGUAUAGUAUGCUACACACCACUCUAGCAUCGAUGACAUUUGAACCGUUAUUAGAGUUUAGACUUAGUGACCCGGGCCCACCGUCAGUACACUACAUGCAAGCUUGCAUUAAAAUUAUGGACAACUGAGAACUUCAUGCAGUGGUAGGCAUAUCAUAACUGCACAACAUUCAAUUUCAUAACAAAGAGUCGUAAACGGUACUUUUUUGCUGUUGUUCCUACACACGGAAAUAUUGUGUCACCAGAGUGAAAACGCGUCCGCUCGCACUGCCGUUGUGUUGCAGACAUCGCUCAGACAGUUUGUAAACUACACACAAAGCGGACAUCAUAAGCUCAUUAUAAAGGCGUAGCUAUGGGUUUUGUUCACCAAUAAAACUAGACAUCCGUACCCUAAAGAUGACUUCUGACAACCAGCAAGAAUCGUCCUACGAUCUAGGGUUCGACGAUGUGGCGCUUUCCCGUCCAAAACACCCGUAUUCCCGUGGCAUAUCUGGUUUGUACGAUCGACGGAUGUUCGAGAUAUCGGAGAAAGACAAACCCGUCCAAGGGUUUCCUUCUUCAAUAACUCAAGACCAAUGGGUUGGACUACGGUUUCAACGGCAACAUAAAGACGGUAGACUGACUAGCAACCUCUUCAACCCUUCACACGUGGAAAGUCAGACAUCGCACACCACCAGCACAACCUGAUCCUUGACCUAUGAACUGAAACAUUAUGGGAACAUUCAAGAGUAAUUUCGGACAUGUUUUUAUUUAACCAAGAACUGUCCAACUUGCGUGCAGAACUUAAGCAUAAAACUUUCUCUGAAAAUGUUAGUCGACUAGUUAUUAUAUUUAUGCCAAAAGAUUUCUCAAAUCAGAGUGAUUCGGGUAGAUUUUCGGUUAUAACCCAUCACACAAUUUGCCUUACAGACAAAAGAAAGACGCGGGAACCAUACGACUUUUUACUCCACAUGAUAUUAAACCAAGUUGACAGUGCAGGACCAUACACGCGUCGGGCACGUGCCGCCAUGAUGCAGCUGUGGACGGCCGGCGUCUAAAGCCUCGCCCAUGGGGUCAUUUUAUCGGUCAUUUACUCGAAUUGAACUGGAAAUUGUCAUGUCAACCACUGCUGAAAGUCAUGUAAACAACAUUUUGUGUACAGUAACUGAAACGUGAGAGCGAGACCUAUAUUAUUGAGUUUCCAUUUUUUUAACUCUAUUUUUCGAGAACCACGUGGUGAAUCACGAGGGUACCUUUUAAAAUGGCGGGUUACAUAACACAAUAUUUUUGGCCAGAAUCUAUUCCAAAUGCAGCUAAAACAGGGACCCUUGUACUUGAUACUAAGUUGGAGCCACCUCAGUUACUUGAUACUGAAUACUUGUCCUUGAAAUUACCUACUUCUUGCUACCCACACGUUGUACUGUUUUGUUACACAAACGGUUGUCAUGGUUUUGUUUGGUUUUGUAUUUUUGUAUAUCACUUGAAUUAUGUUUGUGGUUAUAUACAUUAUUCAUGUAUUUAGGUUAAUAUUUUUGCUUUUAGGGGCAAAAAAGUCCAAGAUAUACUCCGGGUCCAUGCUAAAGUUGUUUGGCUAGUUAUUGCGGUAUUUUCACCCGAAACCCCACUCUGCAGCAGGCGCAUAUUCUUUACUUAUUGGAGUAAAUUGAUCAUCGUAGAACAAACAGUUAUACUGAGCAUGCUCUGUAAAUGCUAUUGGCAAAAUGGAGAUCUGGCAAAAUUGCCGAUUUUAGACGUUUCAUGGAAAUUUCUCCUUAAAAAACUGCUGUUUUUUGCACUUUGGACACCAGAGCAUGGUAAAGUAUUACAGUUUUAAUGUUUGUCGUACUAACUAAAGGCAAAUUUAAGUAACAUUUAUUCUCAAAAUGUGUUAAUUUCAGGGAAAACAUUUCUUGGACCGUCUAAAUUUCCUGUUGGAAACUGAACAUUAAUUUCAUUCGCGCAGCGCAAUAACAGUACUAAUUGCGGUUUUGUGCUGAGCUUCAAGUUCAUGUGUCAUGUCUCAGUUGUUAUUUGUGCACAUGCAUCAUCAAAACCCCAAAUAUCUGACCAGCUUUGUAUAAAGAUUUGUCGCAUUGUAAUGUUUGUAUUUUGUGGACAAGAUUGUUCUGUGGAAAAAUAUACAAAUUUGAUCACGGUUGGAUUUCACGAGGUCAAGAAUUGCACUAGCAAAAACUGCACUGCUUAAAAUGAGUGUACAUUUUUUCUUCUUCACAUGAAUCGAUAAUUAAAAAUGGUACCUAAUGUUUAAAUUAUGCACAUUGGAGAUGUGGGUACUAGUAUCGAAAGUGGCCACUGCUAUUUUCAUCUGAACAUAAAAUAUCUUCAAAAAUAUCACACACAAAAAUUGAACAUUUUCCCCAAACAUACACAUGGUCACACAUGAGGUCACUGUCACUAAAAUAUUCAUUGAACAUAAUAUAUGUUAUUGUAAAUAUUAAUAUUUAGAACACUGGAGAAUACUUUGUAACAUUCCAAUUGUGAAUAACCAAAUAAAAUAUAGUGUAUAAAUCUCAAUGUAUUCUUCAAAAAAUUUGAGAAUAAAAAAUCUUUGAUACAAAUGUUAA
Long non-coding RNA from Asterias rubens (European starfish), 2793 nucleotides. RefSeq lists it as uncharacterized. The transcript is spliced from 2 exons. NCBI's taxonomy places the organism in Eukaryota, Metazoa, Echinodermata, Asteroidea, Forcipulatida, Asteriidae. The record is from RefSeq and is a predicted model, not a curated record.